This 1168-nucleotide long non-coding RNA is filed under the name Homo sapiens (human). RNAcentral describes it as "HSALNT0209810". The record is from RNAcentral. Lineage: Eukaryota; Metazoa; Chordata; Mammalia; Primates; Hominidae.
CUCUAUUUUACAAUUGAAAAAAACUAAAGCACAGAGAUUUCAACUGGUUCACUUUCUCUCCUGUCUCAUGGAAACAUGAUUCUCCUCUCUAAGGUACUCCGCUUCCUGUGCUCCUGAAGGAAUCCCUACUAUGUCUUCCUAAACCUGACUUUCCUCAUCUCACUCUUGCUUUAACUCACCCUCUUUAGUCUCUUUCCUUUCUCCUUCCUCCUAAAGUACAUCUCUUUAACUCAGUUCUCUCUCAAAUUCCCAUGCUAUCUCCUCCUUCAUUACCUUCAACAAACCUCUUAAAAGAACAAACUUCAGGCCGAGCACGGUGGCUCACUCCUGUAGUCCCAGCACUCUGGGAGGCCGAGGAAGGUGGAUAUCCUGAGGUCAGGAGUUCAAGACCAGCCUGGCCAACAUAGUGAAACCACGUCUCUACAAAAAUACCAAAAUUAGCUGGGCAUGAUGGCGGGUGCCAGUAGUCCCAGCUACUCGAGAGGCUGAGGCAGGAGAAUAGCUUGAACCCGGGAGGCGGAGGUUGCAGUGAGCCAAGAUUGUGCCAAUGCAGUCCAGCCUGGGUGACAGAGCGAGACUCUUGUCUCAGAAGAAAAAGAACAAAUUUCAACUUUCUCUACCUUCUCAAAUCUUAUUCACUAUUCAUUGACUAACGCAUUCAUUACUCAUUAUCCUCCCCAUUUAAACCUGCAAAUUCCCCUAGUAUGUUCUCUUAGUUAACUGCAGCACCACUACCUCAGUCUGCCAAGUUUCAAAUUAGACUCACCCUCAAAAAUCUCUUCCUUUCUUCUUCAUUUUGGUCUACCUGGAAGCCUCUAAAGUCUGAUUUUACAUCUGUCAACUUUAUGCCAGGCUUAUCUAUCAUCUUCUAGGGUAAAUGUUCUCAACUAGGAGUUGCACCAGAAUUACUUAGAAAGUUUUUUCAAAGUACCUACAUGAACAAUCUUAUAUUAUAUAUAUAAGGUAUAUAUACCAACUAUCCCCCAAUACAAACAGACAUUCACUUAUUACUCUCUUAUGGACUAUCAAAAUCUCUGGGCAGAAAAAAAGAUGUUCAUCUGAGCAGAUGAUCCUAGUAUGCUACACAUAACUCCUUUGCCUUGGAAGAGAAAGCUUCAAUUUGUCCCAGUGAUAAAAACCACUAAAAAACAUAUGUAACCAUAGUUCC